Molecule: ribosomal RNA, 460 nt
Filed under: uncultured bacterium
Lineage: Bacteria
Description: partial 16S ribosomal RNA
Rfam family: Bacterial small subunit ribosomal RNA
Source: RNAcentral
CCUACGGGUGGCAGCAGUGAGGAAUAUUGGUCAAUGGGCGCGAGCCUGAAGCAGCGAAGUAGCGUGAAGGAUGACUGCCCUACGGGUUGAAAACUUCUUUUAUAAAGGAAUAAAGUGAGGCACGUGAGCCUUUUUGUAUGUACUUUAUGUAUAAGGAUAGGCUAACUCCGUGCCGUCAGCCGCGGUAAUACGGAGGAACCGAGCGUUAUCCGGAUUUAUUGGGUUUAAAGGGAGCGUAGAUGGGUUGUUAAGUCAGUUGUGAAAGUUUGCGGCUCAACCUUAAAAUUGCAAGUGAUACUGUCAGCCUUGAGUACAGUUGAGGUAGGCAGAAUUCGUGGUGUAGCGGUGAAAUGCUUAGAUAUCACGAAGAACUCCGAUUGCGAAGGCAGCCUACUAAACUGCCACUGACAUUGAUGCUCGAAAGUGUGGGUAUCAAACAGGAUUAGAUACCCUAGUAGUC